AGCUGAAAAAUCUUCCUUGCUCCCUGCAGGGGCAGAAACCCCAUAGAAAAAAACCCAAAUUUUUUUAUCCUUGAUUUGUGAAUUCACAGAUAUCUGGGAUUGUUAAAUCUCUGAUACAAGUCAGGAUGUGAGGAGGAAAAAUUGGAUUUUUCAACAGAAAUAAGGAGCAUGGCUCCACACAUGGAAAUUCUCCUAAAAAUUCUAUUUUCAGCAGAGGAAAAGAAAGCUGGAAAAAUUCUGCAAGGCAGAAAUUCCACAGAAAAAAAACCCAAAUUUUUUUAUCCUUGAUUUGUGAAUUCACAGAUAUCUGGGAUUGUUAAAUUUCUGAUACAAGUCAGGAUGUGAGGAGGAAAAAUUGGAUUUCCCAAAGUGAUACCAAGAAAAAUCAGGAAUUCCUCCUAAAGCCCUGGGAAUUGCAAAUCCUUCCUGCCUGGGAAAUUCCUGAUUUUUACUCCACUCCCAGAUAAUGGGAAGAAAAUUAAAACUUGUAUCAGAUCUGCCCCAUUAAACUGCAUUUAAUUCAAAACAAAUUUUGGAAAUUUGUAGUUUAUUUUCAGGCAGAGACAAGGUCACUGUCAGAAAAUAAAACUUUUAACUUGGUUGUGUCCAAGGAAAGUUGUUGAGGGGGAUCACAGAGGAUUUAAAAAAAAAUUAAAAUUUUUAAUUUUCCUGCAGGAAACACAAGAGUUUGAGUCACUUCUGCCCCUGAAUUCCAAGCUCAGCUCCUUCCACCUACUCAGGAAUAUUUCCAGAGUGAGAAAGGAGCUGAGCAGAACUGAAUCACACACAGAGUGUUCCAAAGGAGAAGCCUGGAAAAUUUGGGAAUUUUUUUUUUUUUUUUUUAACAUCCUUGCUCUUGGGGCCACUGAAUCCCAGAUGGAUGUGAUAAAACCAUUUAAAAGAAUCCAAAGGGAUUUUAAAAUUUUCCUGGUUCUGAAUUUUCCUGCCAUUUUCUACCACUAUGGACAGCAUCAUAAUAAUCAAAUAUCAAAAUAAUUCCAUUUAUUUUCAAUUUCCUGUGCUUCAGAGCCAAAUUUAUUGCUGAAACUUCCCUCUGCUGCCUUUUUUUUUCUUCUAAUUCUACAAUUUAAUCUCCUUUUUUUUUUAAUUUCUCAGAUUUAUCCUCCCUCCCAAGGUGUUCUGCAGGGGAAUUCCAGGGUGGAUCUGUCCCUCACUCUCUGAGAUUUUUAGGAAAUUCUUCUAAAAAUUCUAUUUUCAGCAGAGCAAAAGAAAACUGGAAAAUCCUCCUUGGUCCCUGCAGGGGCAGAAAUCCCAAAG
Long non-coding RNA from Oenanthe melanoleuca, 1278 nucleotides. RefSeq lists it as uncharacterized. The transcript has 2 exons. Lineage: Eukaryota; Metazoa; Chordata; Aves; Passeriformes; Muscicapidae. The record is from RefSeq and is a predicted model, not a curated record.